AACGAACGUUGGCGGCGUGGAUUAGGCAUGCAAGUCGAGGGAAUCUCCCGCAAGGGAGGGAACCGGCGUAAGGGGCAGUAAGGCGUGGGUACCUACCCUGGGGUUCGGGAUAGCUGUCCGAGAGGGCAGGUAAUACCGGAUGACCUGGUGACAGCAAAGAUUUAUCGCCCUGGGAGGGGCCCACGUGAUAUUAGGUAGUUGGCGGGGUAACGGCCCACCAAGCCUGGGAUGUCUAGCGGGUGUGAGAGCACGACCCGCGCCACUGGCACUGAGACACUGGCCAGACACCUACGGGUGGCUGCAGUCGAGGAUCUUCGGCAAUGAGCGCAAGCUUGACCGAGCGACGCCGCGUGUGCGAUGAAGGCCUUCGGGUUGUAAAGCACUGUCGGGGGGGAGAAAAGCCGAAAGGUUUGAUCUAUCCCCGGAGGAAGCACGGGCUAAGUUCGUGCCAGCAGCCGCGGUAAAAC
This 467-nucleotide ribosomal RNA is filed under the name uncultured bacterium. RNAcentral's name for it is "bacterial SSU rRNA". It matches the Rfam family "Bacterial small subunit ribosomal RNA", at positions 28 to 526 of the family's 1533-position model. The record is from RNAcentral.